This 2770-nucleotide long non-coding RNA is filed under the name Equus caballus (horse). RNAcentral describes it as "lncRNA (ENSECAG00000049817.1)". The record is from RNAcentral. Lineage: Eukaryota; Metazoa; Chordata; Mammalia; Perissodactyla; Equidae.
AUGGAACUGGCUGGCUGAGAGUCUGUCACAGGAGUGAAUGACUAAGAAGACAGAAGUCUUUAAGGGUGAAGUAGACUCCAUGAAUUCCUCAGAAAGGAAAGUAAAGGGCGACUUUGACUGCCUUCCGGAUUCCUUGUGUGAAAGGAUAAUUCUUAAGUUGGAAUAUAAUCAUAAAUCUCAGACAUAAACUGAAUGGAUUUUAGAGAUGUUAUUUAAAUCAUUAGUCAGUGAGGGAACCAGUAAGACAUCACAAAAACCCAGUAAGAUGGUUCAAAGGAGAAUUCAAAGAACCAGCAACAAUGCUGAAAUCAAUUUACAGAUUGAUCCAAAACUGGACUCAGUCCACAAGAGAGGAGGGAAAUCAAUUGCAUUUUCAGGGAACAAAAUUCAUUUGCAUGUCGAUGGAUAAGAAUCACUUGCAUAACUGUCAGUUACCUAGGAUUUACAGAAUUGUAAAGGAGCUCAAAGUCAAUGAAAGGCAGAGAGGCCUCACACAGCCAAGUCACCUGGAAGACUACUCAGAUGAUCCCCACUGCCUGGUUUUUCACUGAAGACAACUUGAUCCAACUGGACUGCAGCUGGAGCAUGUUACUGCUCACAUUCUGAGACCCAGAACCUAUAGGACAGACCACUAUUUCAUGGAGCAGUCAGAUUGUCCCACCAAACAUCUCCCAGCUAGUUCCCGUCUCAGAGGCACCCUGGUGUUUCGUGUGUGUUUAGCAUACAGACGCUCCUGUUUGUGCUUGCAAGAUUCCUUGUCCUGGAAGAAGCCAGCCACCAGCCUGGGAGGACACUCAAAUAGCUCUUCGGAAAGAUCCUCAAGAGGAGGAGGUGACCAAAGGCCAACAUCAACUUGCCAGCCAUGCAGGCGAGCCACAUCAGAAGUGGAUAAGAUGAGGUGGUGUUGUGAACUAAGGUGACACGAGUGGUUUGAGAUUACUAGGUGGAUUCGAGACUUGGUAAUGGAUUGAAUGUGAAGAUGAGGAAUGCUUGCAGAAAUAAGCAUCUGGGUGCGCAAAGCGGCAUUUAUGGAGGUUGGAAAGACUAGAGGAAGAACACACGGGUCUGAGAACUCAGUUAAGUUAAGAACUCAGUUUUAUAUAUUGUGAUCGUCAAUUCCAUAGUUUCGGCAAGAUAAAAGAAUGUGGCCAGUCCUGGGGAAAGGAUUUGUCUUAUAUCUACUCCUAGUUUUGACAGCAACCAGCUGCUUCCAGAUAGCAUCUAUCAAACGUUAUGGAGGUACCUUCUCAUGCAUUUCUUCCGCUAAUGAUCUUAUGUUUGAGGAUCUCAAACUGCAGAUAAGCAAACAUGUUACUCAUUAGCACAGCUCUGGCUGGACAACCCUUUAGGAUUAAAUGAGUCGCUGCUAACCACAUUAGAGCCGUCACCUGGAGGUCUCCUUUGAGGAAAACACCCCUACGCUCUUCCUUUUGGUCACUGCCAAAGGAGUAUGGGAUUGUGUUCUUCAAAGAUCAAGUGUUUGUGAUAAAAAUCUGUACUGUUUCCUCCUCUCGGGCAUGCUGUCUCUGGAUGUUUUCUGAGUAAAACACACUCAGCUAACUGGCAGAACACAGAACUGUUUCAUGAAAGUGAACACACAGUUUAGGUAGAUAAACCACUUUUAUUUCACUAUUUUAAUAUUGCUUGUUUCAGAGAGAUACAGGUAUGUAAAUUCUGCCUUUCAGAAUUUAGGAGGCUCAUUCACCUUUUAUGUAUCUACCAGAUCUUCUUGGGAGCAGGAAGAUACAAAUAUAACUCUUUAAAUCAUAUCUUUGGGUAAAAAUAGGCCCUAGCUAUUGAAAUAUAGACAAGAAAAUAUAAAAUAAUGUAAUAUUUUUAAAAUGUAAAAAAUUCCCUCAAAAUAGAACUAGAUCUUUCAUGGAAUUCUUUGGUUAACUGUUCUACAACCGGCUUUUAGAAUGGCAUUAUUCUCUGAACAACACAAAGAACUAUUUUUUCCUUGAGAAUUUCUCUCCCUUGCUUGGUCUCCUUGCCAGCGGGAUUUCUCUCAAAUCACACGUAUUUUCUCCAGGUGUGGUUGGCGGCAGCUUCGCAAAUGUAAGCUCGUUAGUUGCAGGCAUCGCGGUCCAGUGGCAAGAGCACCAGCCCCGGCAUGUGGCAUCUCCCUGGGAGCGAACUUCUACCUCCGAGUCAACCACCAGGAGCCCAUUUCUUUAUUGAUAAGUAGGACACUACUGGCGAUACUUGCCUUGGUGGGUUUGUGCGAGGAUUAAUGAGCUGGGUGUGAAUUCAGAAACCACGGAGGACCACCCUCCCAAGGUAAGAUGUUGUUCUGCUUCCUCCUGCGCGGAGGAAGUUUUCCUUCAGUCGCCCCUCUUCUCAUCCCCACUGUCUCUGCCUUGGCAAAGACCACCUUCCUGUCUGCCCUGGACGCUUGAACAGCGUCUUCAACUCCAGCCUUGUCUUCCUGAAGUCUCUCCUCCAUCAUGCUGCCCACGCACUCUUUCCCAGAUGCAAAUCUCACGAGGCUGCCACCCUUCUUAAACUGAUGGAUUUCUCUGUAUGUCUUAUAGAAAAGUCCGGGGUCCAUGAAAUGGCUUUUGGGGCUGCCCCCGGCCGCCCCAUCCUCCAUUCUGCUACCACUGCUCUGGCCACACUGACCCACCUUCCAUCCUCCAAACCUCCCCUGGGUCUUUGCUGCUUUCUCUUCCUGGAAUCCCCUUUUUCCUAGCCAGCCGGAUGAGUUACUGCUACUUACCUUUCUUGCUCUAGCUUAAACCUCACCAACUUUUCCCUGACUCCCAGCCCC